RNAcentral lists this ribosomal RNA (253 nucleotides) under uncultured bacterium. RNAcentral's name for it is "partial 16S ribosomal RNA". It matches the Rfam family "Bacterial small subunit ribosomal RNA", at positions 524 to 776 of the family's 1533-position model. The record is from RNAcentral.
UACAGAGGGUGCGAGCGUUAAUCGGAAUUACUGGGCGUAAAGCGUGCGUAGACGGUUAUUUAAGUCGGAUGUGAAAGCCCCGGGCUCAACCUGGGAAUUGCAUUCGAGACUGAAUAGCUAGGGUACGGUAGAGGGAAGUGGAAUUUCCGGUGUAGCGGUGAAAUGCGUAGAUAUCGGAAGGAACACCAGUGGCGAAAGCGGCUUCCUGGUCCAGCACCGACGUUCAGGCACGAAAGCGUGGGGAGCAAACAGG